AGGGGUUUGGCUCAGUGGGAGAACAUCUGUUUUGCAUGCAGAAAGUCCCCAGUUCAAUCCCUGACAUCUCCGG
This 73-nucleotide transfer RNA is filed under the name Sphaerodactylus townsendi. RNAcentral's name for it is "tRNA-Ala". The record is from RNAcentral. Lineage: Eukaryota; Metazoa; Chordata; Lepidosauria; Squamata; Sphaerodactylidae.